CCAACUGGGUUUGAUUGUAAACCCGGAAAAACAAUCGGUUGGUUCUAGUCGGUGAGCCUGUGAAAACCGACCGAGUUCGUUGUAAUCUCGCAAAACAACAAGUUGGGUUGUGAGCUUGUAAAACAACCGGCUGUAAUCUGUAGGAUUAUAGUGAAAUUCCCAAGAAGUCUUGGGGAGUGGAUGUAGGUGCUGGGGUGCACCGAACCACUAUAUGUUUGUUGUGUUUGUAAUGCUUCUUGUCAUUGUCUAACUUACUCA
Molecule: long non-coding RNA, 258 nt
Filed under: Phoenix dactylifera (date palm)
Lineage: Eukaryota; Viridiplantae; Streptophyta; Magnoliopsida; Arecales; Arecaceae
Description: long non-coding RNA (PDAC_LNC003220)
Source: RNAcentral